Molecule: ribosomal RNA, 248 nt
Filed under: uncultured bacterium
Lineage: Bacteria
Description: partial 16S ribosomal RNA
Rfam family: Bacterial small subunit ribosomal RNA
Source: RNAcentral
UACGGGGGGGCAAGCGUUGGUUCGGAAUUACUGGGCGUAAAGGGCUCGUAGGCGGCCAACUAAGUCAGACGUGAAAUCCCUCGGCUUAACCGGGGAACUGCGUCUGAUACUGGAUGGCUUGAGUUCGGGAGAGGGAUGCGGAAUUCCAGGUGUAGCGGUGAAUGCGUAGAUAUCUGGAGGAACACCGGUGGCGAAGGCGCAUCCUGGACCGACACUGACGCUGAGGAGCGAAGCCGGGAGCAAACGGG